RNAcentral lists this ribosomal RNA (439 nucleotides) under uncultured bacterium. Its description in RNAcentral is "partial 16S ribosomal RNA". It matches the Rfam family "Bacterial small subunit ribosomal RNA", at positions 339 to 795 of the family's 1533-position model. The record is from RNAcentral.
CUGCGGGACGCUGCAGUGAGGAAUAUUGCACAAUGGGGGAAACCCUGAUGCAGCAACGCCGCGUGGAGGAUGACGCAUUUCGGUGUGUAAACUCCUUUUAUAUGUCAAGAAAAUGACGGUAGCAUAUGAAUAAGCACCGGCUAACUCCGUGCCAGCAGCCGCGGUAAUACGGAGGGUGCAAGCGUUACUCGGAAUCACUGGGCGUAAAGGACGCGUAGGCUGGUUGGUAAGUCAGGUGUGAAAUCCUACAGCUUAACUGUAGAACUGCACUUGAAACUACCAACCUAGAGUAUGGGAGGGGGAGAUGGAAUUAGUGGUGUAGGGGUAAAAUCCGUAGAUAUCACUAGGAAUACCGAAAGCGAAGGCGAUCUCCUGGAACAUAACUGACGCUAAGGCGUGAAAGCGUGGGGAGCAAACAGGAUUAGAUACCCCAGUAGUC